RNAcentral lists this ribosomal RNA (480 nucleotides) under uncultured organism. Its description in RNAcentral is "partial 16S ribosomal RNA". It matches the Rfam family "Bacterial small subunit ribosomal RNA", at positions 329 to 800 of the family's 1533-position model. The record is from RNAcentral.
ACGUACACUCCUACGGGAGGCAGCAGUGGGGAAUAUUGCACAAUGGGCGCAAGCCUGAUGCAGCCAUGCCGCGUGUAUGAAGAAGGCCUUCGGGUUGUAAAGUACUUUCAGCGGGGAGGAAGGCAAUACGGUUAAUAACCGUGUUGAUUGACGUUACCCGCAGAAGAAGCACCGGCUAACUCCGUGCCAGCAGCCGCGGUAAUACGGAGGGUGCAAGCGUUAAUCGGAAUUACUGGGCGUAAAGCGCACGCAGGCGGUCUGUUAAGUCGGAUGUGAAAUCCCCGGGCUCAACCUGGGAACUGCAUUCGAAACUGGCAGGCUUGAGUCUUGUAGAGGGGGGUAGAAUUCCAGGUGUAGCGGUGAAAUGCGUAGAGAUCUGGAGGAAUACCGGUGGCGAAGGCGGCCCCCUGGACAAAGACUGACGCUCAGGUGCGAAAGCGUGGGGAGCAAACAGGAUUAGAAACCCUAGUAGUCCCAUGA